RNAcentral lists this transfer RNA (87 nucleotides) under Rhodothermus marinus. RNAcentral describes it as "tRNA-Leu". It matches the Rfam family "tRNA". From Rfam's summary of the family: Transfer RNA (tRNA) molecules are approximately 80 nucleotides in length. Their secondary structure includes four short double-helical elements and three loops (D, anti-codon, and T loops). Lineage: Bacteria; Pseudomonadati; Rhodothermota; Rhodothermia; Rhodothermales; Rhodothermaceae. The record is from RNAcentral.
GCCCGGGUGGCGGAACUGGUAGACGCGCAUGAUUCAGGGUCAUGUGGGGGUAACUCCGUGGGGGUUCGAAUCCCUCCCCGGGCACAA